UGGGGAAUAUUGGACAAUGGGCGAAAGCCUGAUCCAGCAAUGCCGCGUGAGUGAUGAAGGCCCUAGGGUUGUAAAGCUCUUUUACCCGGGAUGAUAAUGACAGUACCGGGAGAAUAAGCCCCGGCUAACUCCGUGCCAGCAGCCGCGGUAAUACGGAGGGGGCUAGCGUUGUUCGGAAUUACUGGGCGUAAAGCGCGCGUAGGCGGCUUUGUAAGUUAGAGGUGAAAGCCCGGAGCUCAACUCCGGAAUUGCCUUUAAGACUGCAUCGCUAGAAUCGUGGAGAGGUGAGUGGAAUUCCGAGUGUAGAGGUGAAAUUCGUAGAUAUUCGGAAGAACACCAGUGGCGAAGGCGACUCACUGGACACGUAUUGACGCUGAGGUGCGAAAGCGUGGGGAGCAAACA
RNAcentral lists this ribosomal RNA (402 nucleotides) under uncultured Sphingomonas sp. Its description in RNAcentral is "bacterial SSU rRNA". It matches the Rfam family "Bacterial small subunit ribosomal RNA", at positions 355 to 774 of the family's 1533-position model. Lineage: Bacteria; Pseudomonadati; Pseudomonadota; Alphaproteobacteria; Sphingomonadales; Sphingomonadaceae. The record is from RNAcentral.